This is an RNA transcript of Camelus dromedarius (Arabian camel), 1249 nucleotides long. RefSeq lists it as uncharacterized. The record is from RefSeq and is a predicted model, not a curated record. Lineage: Eukaryota; Metazoa; Chordata; Mammalia; Artiodactyla; Camelidae. The transcript has 3 exons.
UCCGGAAGUGUGCAGCUGCCCGGGACCAUGGCGGUGCUUGCUGCGGGGGAUGGCGGCUUGCACGUCCGGGCGACUAGUUCUGGCCUGGUCAGUCGGCGGCCGACAUCCUGUCUGGGGCGGCGUCCCAUAGACGGUAAACGUACCUUCUGUGUGACGUCAACCCUCUAGAGGGCUUCAGCCUCCAUAGGGGCGUCUGUAUCCACAUCGCCUUCCUCCUGAAGACCCUGCUGGAAAUGGAGGAGUCGGUGCUGGUGAUACCCCCUUGGGGCCGCCUCUACCAUUGGCAGAGCCUGGACAUCCACCACGUCCGGAUUCCCUGGUCUGACUUUUGAUCUCUCAAGUCUCAACAGAAACAUCCCUGACACUGAGUACGAACAGUUCAUUGCAGAGAUGAGAAACAUCUGAAGGUGGAGGAAGAAAGUUGGAGGUGUGGGGAACACAAAGUCUUUUCUCCUUUUGCUACUGAAGAAAUGAUUGCUUUUGUAAUUAAUGAUGAUGCCCUUUAAAUUGGUGAGAUCGAGAUUCCACAGCUUCAGCGCCUGUGAAUAACCAGCCGGGAGAAAGCUCUCCAGGGCCCCUGCAGUGGGAAAGGCAGCCCCUCUGAGCACCUGUUGUUCUGUAUUCUUCCUGCCUCCACACGGGUUCGCUAAGCACCGUGCAGGACGAUGCAGUUCCCCGAGGUGGAGGACGGAGAGACCCCUGCUGGGUGGCGAGCAAGAGGAGCCCUCACUUGAAGGACAAAGGGAAGAGUAGUGGGGCGGGCGUAGGAGCAGAGGAUGGUUGAGACCCAGGAUGGUGUCCUGGAGUCUAGCAGGCGAGGCUGGUGGGGCAGAUGGGGCCCUGGGGCAUGGGCAGCCCUUGAGGAUCUGAAGCAAAGAUAGGAACCAAGAGACUGGGCUCGUGUGGGGGAACAGCGUGCCCUGGAGGCCGCGGGGCAGCGCAGCAAGCCCAGGGGGAGCGGGCACUUCCCCAAAGCUGGGUUGACAUGUCACAACCAACUCACUGGGGACCGAGAGGUACCGAGAUAUUGUUAACAUUUUGUCCCUCUUCCUGGAAAAGAAACUGCUUCCUGUUGAAUAGCCUGUGUCGUUAGUGAGAAUUAAAGACAUGAAGCAAGAUUGCCUCAAAAGUCACCCAUUGUGUAGCUGUUAAUAAGGGUCAGAUUCAAACUUGUAUAGAUUAAAUCAAACAUUCAUCAUUGGAUUUUAAAAUCCUUUAAAAUAAAAAUUCUUGCUGCCUUUGUUCUUCA